RNAcentral lists this ribosomal RNA (486 nucleotides) under uncultured bacterium. RNAcentral describes it as "partial 16S ribosomal RNA". It matches the Rfam family "Bacterial small subunit ribosomal RNA", at positions 30 to 507 of the family's 1533-position model. The record is from RNAcentral.
AUUGAACGCUGGCGGCAUGCCUUACACAUGCCAGUCGAACGGCAGCGCGGACUUCGGUCUGGCGGCGAGUGGCGAACGGGUGAGUAAUACAUCGGAACGUACCCUGUUGUGGGGGAUAACUAGUCGAAAGAUUAGCUAAUACCGCAUACGACCUGAGGGUGAAAGUGGGGGACCGGAAACGGCCUCAUGCAGCAGGAGCGGCCGAUGUCUGAUUAGCUAGUUGGUGGGGUAAAGGCCCACCAAGGCGACGAUCAGUAGCUGGUCUGAGAGGACGAUCAGCCACACUGGGACUGAGACACGGCCCAGACUCCUACGGGAGGCAGCAGUGGGGAAUUUUGGACAAUGGGGGCAACCCUGAUCCAGCAAUGCCGCGUGUGUGAAGAAGGCCUUCGGGUUGUAAAGCACUUUUGUCCGGAAAGAAAUCGCGCUGGUUAAUACCUGGCGUGGAUGACGGUACCGGAAGAAUAAGCACCGGCUAACUACGUG